RNAcentral lists this ribosomal RNA (243 nucleotides) under Triticum aestivum (bread wheat). Its description in RNAcentral is "partial small subunit ribosomal RNA". Lineage: Eukaryota; Viridiplantae; Streptophyta; Magnoliopsida; Poales; Poaceae. The record is from RNAcentral.
AUGUCGUCGAUCAAACUGGAGUUGGUGUGCUGGAAUGUGCGUGGCUUGAACAGUCCGGCGAAGAAGAAGGCGUUGCGUGAAUUUGCGGACUCGACGCACCCGGCUAUGUUUUGUAUUCAGGAGACUAAGCUAGCGUGUAUCGAUACUUUUACGAUUAUGCAAUGCCUUGGCCCAUCGUAUGAUGGUUUUUUCUACUUACCGGCCUCGGAUACGAGGGGUGGGAUUCUUUUAGCUUGGAACUCG